AUUGAACGCUGGCGGCAGGCCUAACACAUGCAAGUCGAGCGGAUGAAGGGAGCUUGCUCCUGGAUUCAGCGGCGGACGGGUGAGUAAUGCCUAGGAAUCUGCCUGGUAGUGGGGGAUAACGUCCGGAAACGGGCGCUAAUACCGCAUACGUCCUGCGGGAGAAAGUGGGGGAUCUUCGGACCUCACGCUAUCAGAUGAGCCUAGGUCGGAUUAGCUAGUUGGUGGGGUAAAGGCCUACCAAGGCGACGAUCCGUAACUGGUCUGAGAGGAUGAUCAGUCACACUGGAACUGAGACACGGUCCAGAGGCCUAAGGGAGGCAGCAGUGGGGAAUAUGGGACAAUGGGCGAAAGCCUGAUCCAGCCAUGCCGCGUGUGUGAAGAAGGUCUUCGGAGUGUAAAGCACUUUAAGUUGGGAGGAAGGGCAGUAAGUUAAUACCUUGCUGUUUUGACGUUACCAACAGAAUAAGCACCGGCUAACUUCGUG
This 484-nucleotide ribosomal RNA is filed under the name uncultured bacterium. Its description in RNAcentral is "partial 16S ribosomal RNA". It matches the Rfam family "Bacterial small subunit ribosomal RNA", at positions 30 to 507 of the family's 1533-position model. The record is from RNAcentral.